RNAcentral lists this long non-coding RNA (1072 nucleotides) under Cricetulus griseus (Chinese hamster). Its description in RNAcentral is "lncRNA (ENSCGRG00015035023.1)". Lineage: Eukaryota; Metazoa; Chordata; Mammalia; Rodentia; Cricetidae. The record is from RNAcentral.
CUGGGAUUUUACUCAUUCUGUCCCUUAGGGAUUCCUAAUCUUCUCUGUAGUCCUGGAACUCUGGAAGGGAUUGCCCAUGGGAGGGUUCCUUCCCAGCUAGAUUUGUGAACCACAGCCUAUCAUGACUGAUCUCCAGGUCUGACAGUGGGAAGCAGAUGACCUCCUGCAGCCUACAGAAGGCACUGACUGAAUAGUUAAUGUCCACAACAGAAGAAAUGGGCACAUAAACUCUCUGAGAGUAUUCGUUCUGCUGCAGCGAUGGGGAGAAUGUACUGAAGCCCGUGUUUCAAGAUGAAGUGGAGCCAGGUCUCGUGGAGCUCAUAUCUCACGCAGAAGUCAAACACAGAGUUUGUGCAUAAGGAAGAGAGAGUAGGGGCUGAUCUGAUCAAGCCACCAGCUGGUGUCUCAAGUGACUCCUUUUCAAGGUGAUACCUCACAUAUGUGGUGUAAUACCGGGUCCAGAGUCUAAUAGACUGUGUGGCAUAGAAGGUCCUAGAAGAUCCAAGAAGGAAGGAAGAACAUUCCCUAGCCUGGUGAGGAAGACUUAGAGGAAAAGGUACUGUCUAUGAGAGCCGGGAUGGAAAUGACCCCUUCCUACCUGACUUCUGGGUUUCCAACUAAGAGGCCUGAUGCCUCUGAGCCUCUCCCAGGUCCUGGGAGAUGAUUACAUUUCAUGAAACAGAGUGAUUGAUUGACCUUUUGAAAUGUCAGCAGCCGCUCCUGGGCUCCAGGGGAUUUUUGUGGGCCUCAUGUAUCCGCACUAGCAAGCCUCUUGUCUAAUGGGCAAGAUAUCAGUGAGAAGGGAGCUGGCAGUGGAGGACCUGAGGCACAAAACCAUCCACAGGGUUUGAACAAAUCCAGUCGGCAUGAGGUCAGAGCACAGGAGAGUGCAGCAAGAAGGUAGGGGAGGCAAGAAGCUGUUGGGAUCUGUUGCUGAGCUGGGUACUAAUUUAGUUCCCAACACACUUCUUGUAGAAGAGGGAGUCACUGCCCUGGGAAUCAUCCUAGAUGCUUACUUCUGCCAAAAUCAUGGCAUUGUGAUCAUGACCUGCUGGUACAAAAUUGGAGAGCU